RNAcentral lists this ribosomal RNA (253 nucleotides) under uncultured bacterium. Its description in RNAcentral is "partial 16S ribosomal RNA". It matches the Rfam family "Bacterial small subunit ribosomal RNA", at positions 524 to 776 of the family's 1533-position model. The record is from RNAcentral.
UACGUAGGGCGCAAGCGUUGUUCGGAUUUACUGGGCGUAAAGGGCGCGUAGGCGGCGCUUCGAGUCGCGUGUGAAAGCCCCGGGCUCAACCUGGGAAUUGCAUUCGAGACUGCGUAGCUAGGGUGCGGAAGAGGGAAGCGGAAUUUCCGGUGUAGCGGUGAAAUGCGUAGAUAUCGGAAGGAACACCAGUGGCGAAAGCGGCUUCCUGGUCCAGCACCGACGUUCAGGCACGAAAGCGUGGGGAGCAAACAGG